UAUUUGAGAGUUUGAUCCUGGCUCAGGAUGAACGCUGGCGGCGUGCAUAACACAUUCAAGUCGAACGGAACAAUAAAGAGCUUGCUUUUUGGUUGUUUAGUGGCGGACGGGUGAGUAAUACAUGAGCAACCUGCCUUAAAGAGGGGGAUAACACCUGGAAACGGGUGCUAAUACCGCGUAAAUCAAGUAGAUGGCAUCAUUUACUUGUGAAAGGAGCAAUCCGCUUUAAGAUGGGCUCAUGUCUGAUUAGAUAGUUGGUAGGGUAAUGGCCUACCAAGUCUGCGAUCAGUAGCCGGACUGAGAGGUUGACCGGCCACAUUGGAACUGAG
Molecule: ribosomal RNA, 329 nt
Filed under: Clostridiales bacterium
Lineage: Bacteria; Bacillati; Bacillota; Clostridia; Eubacteriales
Description: bacterial SSU rRNA
Rfam family: Bacterial small subunit ribosomal RNA
Source: RNAcentral